RNAcentral lists this long non-coding RNA (2908 nucleotides) under Homo sapiens (human). RNAcentral describes it as "non-protein coding lnc-TRIM29-8:1". Lineage: Eukaryota; Metazoa; Chordata; Mammalia; Primates; Hominidae. The record is from RNAcentral.
CUGACAAGCGGAUAAAGUGGGCAAUGGGGUUCUAGCUGCAUCCAUCUGUGGGAGCAGGCACUCUCCAGAAGGAAAAGCCCCAGGGAGAAGGAGAUCGACAUCCCCCGAUGCUCCUCUCCCAGGGCUUCUGCCCAGGUUCCCGGAUGUUGUGGGUGGGACUUCCGUGACUCUCCUUGCUGAGAUCGUCCAUCCCUCUUCCUGGAGACCUGAGCUCCUGUUCUCCAUGGUGAUCCAUUCAGUGACUUCUCCAAACUAUCUGGUAACAGGCAAGCAUCUCGCCCAGGUUUAAAUCGUGCUACAUUUGUUGUUUAUCAGGGAUAAUGGAAACCCCAGACAGGAACUCUGAAGAUCAGCUCUCUUGGGAAUGGCUACCUAAGAGCUGUUGUUUUCAGACAUUUUUUUUUCCCUGUAAAAUCUUACCCGAAGUACAAUAUAUAAGAAAUAAAAGUAGAGCUGGUCUGGAUGAGGAGGAGUUGGGGACCCAGGGCUCUGGCUGCCCAGCCUCUUGUCAUUCCACCCCCAAAGGCUCUGGUUGCUCCCAGGAGCCUUUGCAGUCCAUAGAACCAUGUUUGAAAAUCACUACCUUAAGACAGAAUACCCUAGACUCCAGUAUUGUUUGUGUGUGUGUGUGUGUGUGUGUGUGUGUGUGUGUGUGUGUGUGUGUGUAGUGAGAGAGAGAGGCCGUAUGGUUAGCCCUUUAGCACAUUUUCUGUUAACCUUUCUGUGAUGCUAGAUGCUGGAGGGGGUGUGUUUGGAUGUGGAGGGGAGGGAGGAGGGGCAGCGUAACACCCCAGGGCUGGUUGAAAGCUCUAGGCUGCUGUGGGUAUGCUGAAGCAGGCUUGUAUGUAUCUGCUCUCCAAACCCCAAGACUUUUCAGGGCCCUUGAGGUGACCUGAGUGUUGUGGCAUGCCACACGCAAGGGCUCACAUCCAAGGGGCAAGUGUGAAUUACAGAGCAGUGGCACCAGGCUCACGGAGACAGCCUCCUAACAUGGCAGCAGUGUGGCAAAGUGGAGAGGGGAGGUGUCAGACAGCGUGCUAGCUCCCCAUCUCGCAGGCCGUCACUGACAGCAGAUACUCAACAGUGGCCAUGCCUACAGGCCCGAGAGGGGUUGGUGGUGCCCAAGCAGCAAACUCUGCCACGUUUGAAAAUGACCAGGUUGUCAGCAAGGCCUGUCUUUUUUUGGCUGCAUCUUGUGGGCCCCAAAGACCUUCCUGAUCUUGGGGACCUUGGUCUCCACUAGAAGAGGUAUGUGCAGACAGGUUGAUGCAACCCUUCUCUGGCAGUCUGGGAAGUGCCCUCAGGGGUUAGGUAGCCCGUGGUUCCCUAGGGCUUACCAUGCGGCAGCUCCAUCCCCAAGUGCCCCCAUCAAUCCAGUGAAUGAACGUGCCCUAGGGGAAGACCCCACCCACCCCACAGAGAUGGGAUGUGCACUCUAACACUGUCUGCCCUCCCACUGUGGCCUAGAGGCAAAGGUAACAACUGAAGAGACACCUGCAAACCAGAGCCACGGACAGAUUCCAGAAGCUCCUCCUGAGUAGUUCUCUGCUCCCACAUAACAGCCCUUUGUGAGCCUCCACUGCAGUAAGUGGAGGGUUAGCAGCACUAGGGACCUGAGUGAGUGGCCUGGGAGCCACCAGGGCUCAUCCCACUUCUGGAGGGUUAAGCUGGCUCUCCUGCAGCUCAGGCUGGCCCAACAGCCUUGGCCUGGAGCGAAACUACCUUUGCUGUGCACAGUCUUGGGAGGCCACAGCCUCAGGCUGCUCCUCAGGUUUUUCCAAAGGGCCAGGGCAGCCCCUGGUUUCCUGGGGAUAGGGCAGGGCUUAUUCUCCCCCCUCCCUGGUCUGGCCCGUGCGUCUCAACUCAGCACUUCUUGAAAACGCCUCUCUCCAUCCCGUCUCCUUGCCACCCGCCAGCAGCCUCCAUGGUUCCCAUUCGACAAGGCAGCUGUGUUUUCAGAGGCAGGCCCAGGCUGUCUGCAGAGAAAGCCUUCUCCCUGGCCUGCUCCACUGCAGCCCCCAGUGCCCCCAGUCCAGAUUUGCAGGCUCUGUUCCUUGUCAUUCGGCACUUUGUGGCAGAUCCUUUGUGGCAAUGACUGAUGCCAGGGCAGCCAAAUGCACAGUGCUUAAUGAGAGUCAUCUUCCUGCCAACCCCACCCCUCCUCUCUUCCCAGGGCUCCUACACAAGCAAGGGGCUUAGGUGGGGGUCUGGGGAGAAGUGGGAGGGGACAGGAGGCAGAGGUGCAGAAGCCAAGCCACCUGUCUGCGUCGUGCACAGUGGGGAAUGUUUGGAUGGGCAGCAUGAGGUCGACAGCUGGGCAGAGAGCAUUUCAGGCCCCCAGUCCUUCUCCUGUCCUUCUAGUUUGGCACCAAGAUCUUCCCAACUCCUCCUCCCCCUCUCCUCCUCCCCACCCCCUCCCCAUGCAGUUCCCAGAGGUGGACACGAGGUGGCGGUGUAAGGACAGGGAAGGGAAGAGGAGAGUACCGAGCCACCAGGAAGAGGACACAGCUGACGGCCAGAUAGGCUAGAAGCAUGAAGAGCCAGACGCCCGGAGAAAAUGGGUCCAGGAAGGAGAAAUAGCCGGGUUUGCGUCCCUGGAAAUGGAGAGAAAAACAAGAUUCACCGCACAUAUUCAGUCAACAUGACCUUGGGGCAGGCAGGGCGGGGUAGAGGAGGUAGUGAGUGUGGGUCUGGCCCCAGUUCCCAUUUCUGUGGGUUCUGGGUGAUUGGUUUAAAUGACACUGGGAAUGAGGGUGUUGCCGGGCUGCGCAAAUGACACGACCCAGCCCUGACCUCAGCAGGUGACACAGAACAGCAGCAGGGGCCAUGCCACUCCCUGGGGUGAGGCAGGCUUUGUGCUGGCAAAGAGGAACAACCCUCAGUGCCCCGAAGUACCACCCUGUGUCCU